GAACGGGUGAGUAACGCGUGAGGAACCUGCCUCAAAGAGGGGGACAACAGUUGGAAACGACUGCUAAUACCGCAUAAGCCCACGGUGCCGCAUGGCACAGAGGGAAAAGGAGCAAUCCGCUUUGAGAUGGCCUCGCGUCCGAUUAGCUAGUUGGUGAGGUAACGGCCCGCCAAGGCAACGAUCGGUAGCCGGACUGAGAGGUUGAACGGCCACAUUGGGACUGAGACACGGCCCAGACUCCUACGGGAGGCAGCAUG
RNAcentral lists this ribosomal RNA (257 nucleotides) under uncultured bacterium. RNAcentral describes it as "partial 16S ribosomal RNA". It matches the Rfam family "Bacterial small subunit ribosomal RNA", at positions 100 to 353 of the family's 1533-position model. The record is from RNAcentral.